Molecule: long non-coding RNA, 715 nt
Organism: Panicum hallii
Lineage: Eukaryota; Viridiplantae; Streptophyta; Magnoliopsida; Poales; Poaceae
Exons: 4
Source: RefSeq, a predicted model, not a curated record
CGGGUGCUCUUGGGAGUUAUUCAGCUCUGCAGAGGCUUACUGUCGAAUAUUGCCCAGCCAUAGAUAUGAAUCCUCUUUACAAACGGCACCAACAGCGCCUUGACAGCCUUGAAGAAAGAGACUUGUCACAUGCUCAUUCAAGAAAUCUCCACGAAGGCCCUAAACUGAAGGACCCAAAAACCUGGAAAUAUGCUAUUCCUGGACAUCGGCGUUACUGAAGUCCCAAACAGAGAUGUGCAUACUGCAAGAGAAUGGAUGCAUUAUGCUAUCUAGCAUGGAACAACGAUGGGCAGGCGCAGAGCAGAGGGCAGGGCAGAGCAGGCAGCACAUUGGUGGUGAGGCAGAGAGGACGUGUGUUGGUUGUGUGUGGGAUGGUAUGGCCUUUGCGAAGUGCUUCUGUUCCGUCGUGGACGGACUCUCUGAACUGCGAUAAAUUGCUUGAUGAAAUAGCAGCUACUCUGCUCUACACUUGAUUUCCAUUUUGAAAGCAAAAGGUGCAUGCGUUCAGAAUGUGAAGGCACGGUAGGCAAGGAGCAAUUGGCAUGAAGAGCUGGUGUAACAUAAACACAUACAUGCUGCCGCCUGCCAGCCUGCUGCUGCUCAAUGCUUUGGAAUAAUCUUUAUCUCAACACCAACAUGGUUAUAGAUUUGCCUCCAGGUAAAGCAACAAAUUCACAGCAUAGAUAGUUUCUCUGCUCUUCGUCUUGCUAGUUUU